UUUCAAGUUGAUGCGCCCAGGACCCUAGGACGCAGCGCUCGCACUCCGGUGUGGCGUCUUGCCGUGAAACCCCAUGCCCAGUGCUUGCUUCCCUGCUGGGCCUUAGGGGCGAGACCCUCUUGACACCACGAAGGAUGACGAAGCUAGUCUGCGGCAGCCAACGCCCCUCCCCCCGACUCUCUGCACUCUGUGGUGGUCGCUACUGUCCAGGAAGCAGGAGUCCAGAACUGACACCUUGGUGCAGAGGGGCCAUGAGAGACAUCUACCCUGUCAGGAAGCAGCCGGACCACAGCG
Molecule: long non-coding RNA, 294 nt
Filed under: Cricetulus griseus (Chinese hamster)
Lineage: Eukaryota; Metazoa; Chordata; Mammalia; Rodentia; Cricetidae
Description: lncRNA (ENSCGRG00000026261.1)
Source: RNAcentral